Molecule: long non-coding RNA, 609 nt
Organism: Talpa occidentalis (Iberian mole)
Lineage: Eukaryota; Metazoa; Chordata; Mammalia; Eulipotyphla; Talpidae
Exons: 3
Source: RefSeq, a predicted model, not a curated record
AGGACCCGAGCCUCAGGCAGUGUCUAGAUGAGCCUUGACCCCAGGGGAGGGUGGUCUUGUAUCAGGAGGCCACAAAUACAGGCUCUUCUUUUCUUUCUUUUUUUUAGAUUUAUUUAUUUAAGUAUACAAGAACUGGGGUACAGGCCAGAGGUGUGGGAGGUAAGAGGAUUCACCAGAGACAGAGUGGGGAGCAGAACAGGCAGACUGACUGAAAUACACUGCCGAGAGGAGCAGCGGGAGGACACAGCUGCCCCUGCUGGAUUCAUUGCUGAAUCCCCAGUGCCUUGCACAGUGCCUGACCAUGAUAUGUGAGUUAUCUUGGCUGUUUAGGAAGAACUGGAGCUUAAAGAAACCAAAGAAUUUACCUAAAGUCGCUCAGCUAACUAAAAUCGGGGAAUCGGGACUUGAACCCACGUCCUUAGGCAUUGACCAUAAACAGUGAAUGAUGGCGAAGCUGAAAAACGGACUCUGGACAGAAGCAGAGAGAUGAGUAUACUGCACAAAUAUUGUUACUGAACAAUUGACACAGAUGAAAUUGGAAGAUGACUUACAAUUUGUACAUUUCAUGUGGCAAUGUUUCUUUUUUCCCCAGAAAUGAUGUUAUUAAAU